Molecule: long non-coding RNA, 783 nt
Organism: Musa acuminata AAA Group (dessert banana)
Lineage: Eukaryota; Viridiplantae; Streptophyta; Magnoliopsida; Zingiberales; Musaceae
Exons: 2
Source: RefSeq, a predicted model, not a curated record
CGGUCGAGCGUCGAUCCCACCCCUCAGCCGCUUCUUCCUCUUCCUCCUUCCUCCUUCGCCCUCCUCAUCCGCUUCUUCCUCUUCCUCCUCGUCCGCCCUCGAGAUCUCGUCGGCUACAUGGAGGACAAGGCCGCCGCCCUGUGAUCUUCCCACUACGGAGCUGGACUGACGCCCCUCCCCUGCAUCAAGCUCUUCUAUGCACCGUCUUGUCCAUGUGCUUGUCAAGUCUCGGGAGGGUUCUUCAUUGGGCUUCUUUCUAAACGAAGGAACAGCUUCCUUCGCUUGGUGGAUCAAUUGGAAAAGGAGUUGUGCUGGGGGGAGAGAGCACAAUUCAGCAACUUUAUGGUGCUAAAGCCACUUGUGAUGGUUCUCAUGCUAAAGAUUAGCCCUUCUUCAACUAGCUUUCCAGCUUGUCUCGCAAGCCAUGGGGGGAGGGGAAGCAAAAGCAGUAGCAGCAACAGAGUCUUAAAUGCCACGAUGGCAACUUGUGAUAUUCCCUGUGUAGCUGACCAUAUGCUGCUCUCCUUGAGUGCCGUAGACGAUUUGCCUCAAAUCCUAGCUUGCUUGGUUGGUGGGUUCAUCCUGACUGGUAAACUGUGUUCGGUAUACAUAUUUCUGCACCAUCAGAUCCCAAAUAAGCUAUCCCCGCUUGCACCAUCGGAUACAUGGUUGGAACAAACAUGCAGGUGUAUCUUUGAGUGAGUUUGUUUUCUCUGUUAGUUCACCUCUCUAGUUGUUUUGUUGAUGGAUAUUGUUUCUUGUUGGCAAAAUCCGAUUGCUUGA